GCGGUGGAGCAUGUGGUUUAAUUCGACGCAACGCGAAGAACCUUACCUGGGCUAGAAUGCCUCUGACCGCCCUAGAGAUAGGGCUUCCUGGGUAAAACCAGGCAGAGUGCAAGGUGCUGCAUGGCUGUCGUCAGCUCGUGUCGUGAGAUGUUGGGUUAAGUCCCGCAACGAGCGCAACCCCCGUCGUAUGUUGCCAGCAUUUAGUUGGGGACUCAUGCGAGACUGCCGGUGACAAACCGGAGGAAGGUGGGGAUGACGUCAAGUCAUCAUGCCCCUUAUGUCCAGGGCUACACACGUGCUACAUUGGCGCGUACAGAGGGCUGCGAUACCGCGAGGUGGAGCGAAUCCCUUAAAGCGCGUCUCGGUUCGGAUUGCAGGCUGAAACCCGCCUGCAUGAAGGCGGAGUUGCUAGUAAUCGCGGAUCAGCAUUGCCGCGGUGAAUACGUUCCCGGGCCUUGUACACACCGCCCGUCACACCAUGGAAGCAAGCAACACCCGAAGCCGGUGGCCUAACCCCUUGUGGGAGGGAGCCGUCGAAGGUGGGGCUCGUGACUGGGGUGAAGUCGUAACAAGGUA
RNAcentral lists this ribosomal RNA (576 nucleotides) under uncultured soil bacterium. RNAcentral describes it as "bacterial SSU rRNA". It matches the Rfam family "Bacterial small subunit ribosomal RNA", at positions 929 to 1498 of the family's 1533-position model. The record is from RNAcentral.